UCCCCACAACCGCCUGCCCGCACCUCUCCCUCCUCCGGUCCUCCCUCGUCUCAGCCGCCACCCCAUGAACCCUAGCCGCGCCCUCCUGCAUUUGUCCUCCUCCCCCUUCCUAGUCUGCCCCAAGCCCCUCCUCGUCUGAUGAGCUAGCCGAGGAGAAGCGGGGUGGCGCGAUGCCCUGGUCGUCCGCCGGCGGGGAGCCUGUGUAGAGGCGGUGGCGGAGACGACCCUAGAUGGUGCCCCGGCCAAGAUCUGAACAGGGCGCCUCAACCUCGCCUUCCUCUUCCACCUACUUGCUGAUAGAGAGACAGCAGCAGCGGUGGGAGGAGGCUGGGCGUAGAGGAGAGAAGUGGCCGAGGGGGGUGCAAAGCCAGGAGAUGGGGGUCGCCGGAUGAGCAUAGCCGCACAGGGCCUAAUCCCGCCGCUGCCAGAGCAGAGUGGAGGACCACACGGGCCCGAUGGGGUGGCCGGGAGCGCGCGACAUCCGUCUCCCAAGCGGCUCCCAAGCAGGGAAUGCAGCGGUGCUGGCCUCUCCUCUCCCCGCGCCUCUGUCCUGCAUCGUCACUACUGCCACGGCCUUGCUCGCCAUCGACCUCCCCAAGUGCUUCUCUCCACAAAUGGUGCCUCCAUGUCCAGACCAAUUCAAGCGCGAGGAAAGUACAACACGUGCACGUAACUUGUUUGAGGAAAUUCCAUCUGGAAGCAAUAUUUGAUCAUGACUUGUGUUCUUGAUGCUUCAUCUACGGCUAGCUGACUACAACAACACAUAUGUAAAGGGAAACCAUCGUAAGAAACACAGGUAAAAAGGGAUUUUCCUUGUUCUUAUAGUUUUGGAUCAAAGUUCACGUUUACCUUGAGUGACUCUUUUUUGUUAUACAAUGGAUUCAACAAUAAUCAAUAAGGAAGUGCAAACUGAGAGGGGUGGGAAAAAUAACCUGAGCAAAGAGCUAAGAUGAAAUGCUACUUUCUAGUGAUUUGUUGUGGCCUGUUAAUUUUUCAGUAUGGAGCUUGAAGUUUUAAUGCAGAUAGGAAGUUUCAUUUUAUUCUUAUCCACAUGCUUACUAAAUUUACAUUUUUAUUUCAUUUCUGGAAAGAGUCAACCUUAAAUAAUUUAGAGGACUCUUCAGAUAAUAAGAGAAAAGCCAUAUAGGUCAUAAAUGCAUAGGCAUUCAAAAAAAAGGCACAAAAAUUGAGCUAGAAGGUAUGUAUAAAUUCAUGUGAAACUGAGACAUAGGCAAGCAUACAAAGGAAUUUUGCAGGAUCAUUCCUACGAUCUGGAGGGCCAUUAUAGCCAGAUUUACCUAACGUCUCUAAGAAAAUAUUUUGAAACUCGGAUCAUCCAGAUAUAUCAACAUGGAAAAGUCUGCUGAAAGAAACUUUUGCAGCUGAAGAUGCCUGAUUAUACUUCCUAUGGGCUUGUUUUGAAAAGAAUUUUUCCUGGCAUGCCAUAUGUCAGCCCCCAACCAUCUCUCUCUCUCCCGCACUCAUUUUCUCUCUCUCACGUUUUGCCUUUGAGGCUGUAGAUCUAAGCACUAGUUGUUUGUAAAAAUGCUCAAGGUGGGCUACUUAGAGGAGGGCAGUAUGUUCUACAGUUUUAGUUAUAUGAUUACAUACAUCUAAAUAAAAGUUUACAUGAUUCUAUAAUUAUUGUUGGAGAUUUUUACUCACAGUAAAUUUCUUCAAAGGAUCUGUUUAAAGACAACAGGCAUAUAUUUGUACAGAGAUCAUAUUAUUUUGAUACCCAUGUAAGUUCUCUUAUCACUUUGAUGUGCAUCUUCUUUAGGAACUUACCUCGUUGCAAUUUCUGGUCAUGCUUUGCAUAGCUAAAUCGGUAUCAAGAAUAUUGUAUUGUUUAUUUCUUACCAUGUCUGAUCAACUAAUAUGGCUACGUCUAUGCAAUAAUUUUAUAGAUGAAGUUGGUGGUUCAUGGAGACCCAAGGUGCACUGACAGAAGAUAUCAGAGGAGCAGAGGAAAAUGCAAGUGUGUAUGUGUGAAAAAUUAUUGCUUUAACUCAAGAUCAGCUCUUCGUUCUUUCAAGCGCUAUGUUGCUUACUCAAAUGUUUGUGGCGAUUGUAUCCUUGUGCCAUGAAUAUUUGUACUUAGCAUAUCAAUAUAAACAUAUUGUCUAUCUAUUUACCAAUUCAGAAUUUAAAGCACUUUAUUUUAUGGCCUUGAGUAAAAGUUCAGUCGUUGUUGGCUAGAAGACAUCUUCAAUACGCCGUCAACACGAGCUUCCGAAGAAAGAAGAUUUGGUGGAUGAUGUAAGAUAUCCACAUGUUGUAUAUGUGGAAAAACCAAAGGCUCGGGAUGUUGAUUUUUCGGAUGAAAUGAUUUAUCAGGCAAAAACUACAAGUGAAAUGGAAGAACUAACCUCAAAAGCCUGAAUAGAAUUCCUUGGCAAAGGGUAGAUGUUAGCUUCAAGAGAAGUAGACAAUGGAUUUUUGCCCAUAGCACCAUUCAGGUCCAGUUGUCGUUGCCUUCACUUGCUUUGUCGUUUACCGAUCUGUCAGCUCGCCGGUUCCCUGACUUGCUGUCAAAGUUUGUGUUCUAUGCCUCCAUUUUCUGUUUUAUUUCUUUUUGUUUCUCUAUAUUACUUACUAUUUUAUUCUGCUACCUGACCAGGUGUUGCGUGCGUGCUUUAUUUGUUUGUUUCGGUUUCUUAUGCUGCUUAUUUCAUUUAUACUGCUUCCUGUGCCAGGAUGUGCCUUGCUGUGUCUUUUGUGAUCCCAAUUUUUUAGACCCUGGUGGCGCAAUUUUGUUUGCCCGCUCUUUCAUGCGUGUGUGAGAUUAUUGACGAUGGGGUUGUGCUUGUUGGGGUGGAGCCAAAGCAGUGUCUCCCCGCCGUCAGAUAGGAUGUUCUUCUGGGCAACUGGCGGUACAGGGGCACUGUCUGCCUAUGAACAGGCUGCUCUGCAAGCUAUAAAAUUCUUGCAGGGACGAUGUAAAUCAUGUUGCUGUUGAUUAGGAUGAUUCAUAUACAACUUGGGUCUAUAUUUUUGUUAGCUUGAUUAGGGGAGAGACAGAGGCAGGGAGGUGCCUAGGAUGAGUAGGAAGGCUCUGGGAAAUUUUUUGCCGAACCUGUGUAUGUUCUGUUUUGCCCAGUUGAAUGUGUACACUUCAUGUCAUAUAGCAUAAUAAUAGCAGAUGAUAAACUAUCGUUGUCAUAUUAUUGAACUUGAUAUCCUAUUUGAACUAGACAGAUAAUUUUGACAAGAUUUUAUCCUGGCGUAAACAUGCUGUCAUAGUGUCAACACAAUAAUAAUAGAAAAACCUUCUCAAAAUUCAGGUGAGGUGAAGCAAGCAAGCACCUCCCCGUGUUUUAUAUGUAAGCGAUCACCUCCCCGUAUUGCUUUUCCCGACCAUUGUUCAUUUAAACCUUUCUUCUGUAUUGGCGCUACUGGAUAACCAUUAUUGAUUUACCAAAAAGGAAUCAUAACACUACAGGUCAUGGAAAAUAGAUAUAAUUAGCACAUAAUCCUGCAAGUCUCACCUAAUAUGCACAUGUCGUUUCCGUUUUCCAAAAUAUAUACCAUUGAGAAACUUACUGGAUGCAGUGCAGAUUCUAGGAUAUUAACAUUUGCAGCCAUACGUUGGUUUCAAUGGUGACAGAUUUUUGUCAAUCCCACAGAGAUAAUUUACUUCAAGACUAGCAAAUACAUUCUGAUCGAGGAGAGAGCAAGCCGUUGCAGAGGAGAGGGGAUACGACGGUGGGCGGAGGUCAGGCAUUGCUAACAGAUUUGCGGUGGAGUGGGAGAGGUGACGCCGGCCGGCCGGCGCCUCACCACCGGCUCCUGUUUGGCGGCGGCAAAGAGAAGGGUGCCGAGGAUGUGUUUCUCUAUGCAUGGCUGUCGAAGUACAUCAUCUUUAUGAUGUGUAUGGUUUCUCUAUUUUCAGCCCUACCGCUCCAAAGCCCGAAUCCCAUGACCAUGCCCCCACCUCUCCUUCGUUGAAUGAAGGGAGUCUGGUUGCUAAAAAGUGAGUUUUCUUAAUCGGUAUGUAUGGCCCCUCUGCACAUGUCAUUUCUUCGUAUUUAAGAUUCCCUCAAGCUUUGUCAGUUUUCUGAUAGAUAUGGAAUUUUAAUUUGAUAGUCCCAACAACGGUGGGUACUGACGGAUCUAUCUAUUAUUUAUUGUCAAUCUGUAAUACUUUUGUCAGCUUCUAGCAUGUCGUUCCUCUACCAGAGUGCAAUUUUCUCUGCAUGGCAUACACCAGUUACCAUUAGUUGAUAUGUUUGUUGAAGUUUUAUUGCAAGUUAAAUAAAUGUGUAGUAUGACAUACUGAUUAUUAUAGUUUGAUAAUGUCAGGUGCCGAUGGCUUUAUAGAUAUGUAAAUAAAAUACCUUUAAGUAAUACUAAGCAUUUAAUUAUUGUUCUGUUAUGUUAUUGAUUUCACCGGCUUUAUGUCGGCCGAUUAGUUCUGAAGGAUUCCACAUCGGCUAAUUUAGAUUAUGUUACUAGAGUAUUAGAAGAAGUUCUUGAUAUAUGUAUUUAGAGCAUUUGCUGAGAUUUGAUGCAAAAUAUUGAUGACCAGGCAUUAUAUUGCGCAUAAGAGCAAUUCUUUAGUUUUUCUUUUUAUUGUUGCAGCAGCUUUUCUAUAGCAAUAGCCAAAUAGUGUGACAUAACACUAUUCCAUUUUCACAGGCCAUAACACAUCUUUACAUGUAAGUUUGUUCUCCAAAUAGUUCUCUUUCCAAGAUUUUCAUAUCAUAUUUGUCGAGGGAUCUGACUGCUUUACCAUAUUUUCCUGGUGUGGACGAUGUUAUAGAGUGAGCUACCAUCACUUCUCAUUACUGACUGUAAUCAAUUAUAUGUGUUUAUGCCAUAAAAGAUGGAUAUUUGUUGAAGCCAUUGUCGUGUCAUGUAAUUACUUGCAGAUCAACUAUAUAGUUUUGUUCGGAUUGUAAAGUGGAAACGAUAAAACCCUACAACUCAUGUGUGAUUGUCAUUUGAUUAUUUAGUUCCUCAAGUAGUAUGGAUAUGGUGCUGCCAGGAUAUUAAGUAUAUUAUGAAGUUGUAUAAACCACGUUCUAUGAUUCACUUCUGUUCUGCAUAUUUACUUUCCAGUUUUAGGACUGAAAUCCAUCCAUUGUAAUGAAUUUUGUUGUAUGGGCAUUACCUAUUUGACUUAGGCUUGCUUCAUCACAUAUAGACUGCUUUUCUUUUCCCCACUGCUUGUAUGGCCUAAAACUAUCAUGUAUAUGAGGCAAGUUAUUAGCAAUGUUUCACAUUUUCUUACUUG
Long non-coding RNA from Triticum dicoccoides, 5236 nucleotides. RefSeq lists it as uncharacterized. The transcript has 8 exons. The record is from RefSeq and is a predicted model, not a curated record. Lineage: Eukaryota; Viridiplantae; Streptophyta; Magnoliopsida; Poales; Poaceae.